UUUCUUCCCUUUUUUUUAGAAAUAUGUUCUCUUGAUUAUUUCGAACAUGGUUAUUUUCUGAAUAAUUAUUGGACAACCUAUAAAGAAGGUGUUGAAAUUUCAUAUGCAUGUUUGUAUGAUUAUGUACCUGAAAAUCCAGAAGCCAAAGCUGUAUGUACAAAGAAUAACUGGAUGCCUCCUCCAAGAUGUAUCUAUAAAAAAUCAUGUGAAAAAGCUCAGAUGAGCAAUGGUUAUUACACCCAAGUUAAGGACAAAUUUGAAUUAAAUGAA
Molecule: non-coding RNA, 270 nt
Organism: Pelodiscus sinensis (Chinese soft-shelled turtle)
Lineage: Eukaryota; Metazoa; Chordata; Testudines; Trionychidae
Source: RefSeq, a predicted model, not a curated record